Long non-coding RNA from Juglans microcarpa x Juglans regia, 150 nucleotides. RefSeq lists it as uncharacterized. The record is from RefSeq and is a predicted model, not a curated record. The transcript has 3 exons. Lineage: Eukaryota; Viridiplantae; Streptophyta; Magnoliopsida; Fagales; Juglandaceae.
AGAAAACGCAGGCCAACCCAACCCCGUUGAACCCAAUCAUUUCCGAGGACCCAGUCGCGUCGCCGGUCACUUCCAACCACCCCAGAGCCGCCGUCGCCUCAGCCUUUUUCUCUCGGUAACGCGCUACAAGUUGGAAGUCAGGAAGCAACG